GACGAACGCUGGCGGCGUGCCUAAUACAUGCAAGUAGAACGCUGAUGUUUGGUGUUUACACUAGACUGAUGAGUUGCGAACGGGUGAGUAACGCGUAGGUAACCUGCCUCAUAGCGGGGGAUAACUAUUGGAAACGAUAGCUAAUACCGCAUAAGAGUGAUUAACACAUGUUAGUUAUUUAAAAGGAGCAAUUGCUUCACUGUGAGAUGGACCUGCGUUGUAUUAGCUAGUUGGUGAGGUAAAGGCUCACCAAGGCGACGAUACAUAGCCGACCUGAGAGGGUGAUCGGCCACACUGGGACUGAUACACGGCCCAUACUCCUACGGGAGGCAGCAGUAGGGAAUCUUCGGCAAUGGACGGAAGUCUGACCGAGCAACGCCGCGUGAUUGAAGAAGGUUUUCGGAUCUUACAGCUCUGGUGUUAUAGAAGAACGUUGGUAGGAGUGGAAAAUCUACCAAGUGACGGUAACUAACCAGAAAGGGACUGCUAACUACGUGCCAGCUGCCGCGGUAUGACGGAGGUGCCGAGCGUUAUCCGGAUUUAUUUGGGCGUAAAGCGCGUCUAGUUGGGUAUGUAAGUUGUGAUGUGGAAAAUGCAGGCUCUGCUCUGUGUUGGCGGUGUGAAAUUGGUGUAAAGUUGAGUGCUGGUAGUGGGAAGUGUGAUGUAUGAGGUGUUUAGUGUAAUGUCCUUAGAUUUUGUUGGAAUGAUCGAGUGGGAAGUCAUCUUAUCUGUCUGAUACUGACCUGUUUGCUGUGAAUGCGUGGGUUUCUGUGAGGUGUAUGUACCUUCGUGUUCUUGUGCAUGAUUCCCCACUGAUGUGCUGAAGUUGUGUGUACCCGGUGCUGUGGCGUGGUGCUGCCAAAAAAAAUAUCUGCUGUAGUUUCUUUUGCUGUGCGUGUUAGUUAAUAGUGUGUUGGUGUGUU
This 923-nucleotide ribosomal RNA is filed under the name Alloprevotella tannerae. Its description in RNAcentral is "bacterial SSU rRNA". The stretch from base 1 to 535 matches the Rfam family "Bacterial small subunit ribosomal RNA", at positions 28 to 545 of the family's 1533-position model. The record is from RNAcentral. Lineage: Bacteria; Pseudomonadati; Bacteroidota; Bacteroidia; Bacteroidales; Prevotellaceae.